CCUACGGGGAGCUGCAGUGAGGAAUAUUGGUCAAUGGGCGAGAGCCUGAACCAGCCAAGUCGCGUGAGGGAGUACUGCCCUAUGGGUUGUAAACUGCUUUUAUACGGGAAUAACGCGCCUUACGUGUAGGGCUUUGCAUGUACCGUAUGAAUAAGGACCGGCUAAUUCCGUGCCAGCAGCCGCGGUAAUACGGAAGGUCCGGGCGUUAUCCGGAUUUAUUGGGUUUAAAGGGAGCGUAGGCCGCAUGUCAAGCGUGCUGUGAAAUGUCCGGGCUCAACCCGGGCCUUGCAGCGCGAACUGGCGUGCUUGAGUCCGCGGAAAGCAGGCGGAAUUCGUCGUGUAGCGGUGAAAUGCUUAGAUAUGACGAAGAACCCCGAUUGCGAAGGCAGCAUGCCGGCUCCACACUGACGCUGAGGCACGAAAGCGUGGGUAUCGAACAGGAUUAGAUACCCGAGUAGUC
This 460-nucleotide ribosomal RNA is filed under the name uncultured bacterium. RNAcentral's name for it is "partial 16S ribosomal RNA". It matches the Rfam family "Bacterial small subunit ribosomal RNA", at positions 338 to 795 of the family's 1533-position model. The record is from RNAcentral.